Long non-coding RNA from Tetranychus urticae (two-spotted spider mite), 1630 nucleotides. RefSeq lists it as uncharacterized. NCBI's taxonomy places the organism in Eukaryota, Metazoa, Arthropoda, Arachnida, Trombidiformes, Tetranychidae. The record is from RefSeq and is a predicted model, not a curated record.
AAGGUCUACCUUAAAGAUUGAGAGUUAAUUUUGAAACACACAAACUUUGCGCCUAAACAAAGUGAAGGAGCAGGAAAAGCAUAUAAGCAUAAAAAGCAUUGAACAAGCGUUUCUCUUAGCGCCUACAUUUUUCAAAGAUCUCCUAACGAUAACGUUCAUCUUGAAGCUUUUUUUUUAAAUGUAUCACUCCCUCUCACUCUCAUCUUUUUUUUACCAUCAUCUCUAUCAUCAACUACAAUCAUUAACUAUAAACAUCAACUAUAAUCAUCAACUAAUCUUCUGGUGUUCCUUAAAGUGAAAUAAGCAACCAAUAUUGAUCUUUCUUACCUUGAAUCAACUUUAAGGCAAAUUAUCAUCUUCAUGUUUCUCAAGUUUUUUUACCUUUUGCCUUGAGCUUAUUUUCACAGCAUGAUAAUAUUAUCAUAUUGUUCAGUUAUUAUAUGCUGUGUGGUUAUUAUUUGCAUGGUACGGGACUCUUGUAAUAAUUGUAAUUUGCUGUUGUAGAGACACCAAGCAGGAGAGGGUUUAACUAUGGGUGUGUGAUUUUGGAUCCAUUUUUGGUUUUCAACUCAAAUUGGCUGAUUUUAUAAUUGGUUUAACAACAACCACAAUUAGCAUUAACAUUCAAGUUGCCUCCUUUUGUUUCAAUGUAUUGUUUUUUUCCUGGAUUCACCAACAAGGCAAAGCAAAAGGAUGGUUUAAUUGUGCGAUUAUAAUCUUGACUUUCUCUUCUUUGGCCGCGAGUUUCCUUUGUAGUUAACUUUUCAAACAAUACCAGCUAAAUCACCUUCUUCGAUCACAGUUAUACUGAUCUAUUUUGAUCUCAAAGUCAAUUUCAUUUGAAUGGAAAGGUAAAAUGGUUUUGACAAAGGGAAACCUCAUUUUGUGAUGUAAAGACCUACUUGUGUGUUUAUCUACAUCUUUUUUUGCCAUCCCUUUCUUUUUUGAGUGUUCAGAUGUUGUUGAUGUUGAUUAUUAAGUUUAUGAUUUAGAGACAUUUAAUAGCCGUAAGGCAUUUGCUUUAACAAGUAGAGGAUGGCAAAAAAUAUGAUGAAGAUGAUGAAGGAGAUGAAAGAGAAGCAAGAAAACAACUUUGACCUUAAACUCCUCCUUGUUGAUAGUUCCUUUGAGUUUCUUGAACAAUCCGCAAAAAAAGUGAACAGAAAAAGCUUAGAAGCAAAAUAAAUAUCUAAAAUACAAGGUAAAAUAUUUACUUAUUUAAGGGUCAAAUCAUUUUGAAGCUACUUUUUUGUUUCCAAUUUGACUUGAAAUCAUCAAAAUUGAUCCAGAAGCAGCAAAAAGUCCAGUAAAAAACAAAUCUAAUUGUAACCAUUUUGCCAACUAAUUAAGCUUUUGUUAAUCAAGUAUGAAUGAGAAAGCUCAGCAUGAGAUGGCGAAAAAUUGAAAGUGAAGAUGAUAAAAUGAUGUUGGAGCAAAGAUGAUAACUAGAGAGAUGGAAACGCAAGCUUAAUAAUGAUACAAGAGAUGAAAGUUGGGAGUGCUGAGAUAUCAUCAAUUUAACAUCAUCUUUGGUCAAUUUUAAUAAUUUUUUUAAUUGCAUUUUAACUAACAGACAAAUGAUGAUCCUAAUCAAGACAGAGUCCAAGUAAAAGUACCAUUUAACUGAUAA